RNAcentral lists this ribosomal RNA (762 nucleotides) under uncultured fungus. RNAcentral's name for it is "SSU rRNA". It matches the Rfam family "Eukaryotic small subunit ribosomal RNA", at positions 804 to 1590 of the family's 1831-position model. Lineage: Eukaryota; Fungi. The record is from RNAcentral.
UUAGCAUGGAAUAAUGGAAUAGGGCGUGUGGUCUUAUUUCGUUGGUUUCUAGGACCGCCGUAAUGAUUAAUAGGGACAGUCGGGGGCAUCAGUAUUCAAUCGUCAGAGGUGAAAUUCUUGGAUCGAUUGAAGACUAACUACUGCGAAAGCAUUUGCCAAGGAUGUUUUCAUUAAUCAGGAACGAAAGUUAGGGGAUCGAAGACGAUCAGAUACCGUCGUAGUCUUAACCAUAAACUAUGCCGACUAGGGAUCGGACGGUGUUAUUUUUUGACCCGUUCGGCACCUUACGAGAAAUCAAAGUGCUUGGGCUCCAGGGGGAGUAUGGUCGCAAGGCUAAAACUUAAAGAAAUUGACGGAAGGGCACCACCAGGGGUGGAGCCUGCGGCUUAAUUUGACUCAACACGGGGAAACUCACCAGGUCCAGACACAAUGAGGAUUGACAGAUUGAGAGCUCUUUCUUGAUUUUGUGGGUGGUGGUGCAUGGCCGUUCUUAGUUGGUGGAGUGAUUUGUCUGCUUAAUUGCGAUAACGAACGAGACCUUAACCUGCUAAAUAGCCCGUAUUGCUUUGGCAGUACGCUGGCUUCUUAGAGGGACUAUCGGCUCAAGCCGAUGGAAGUUUGAGGCAAUAACAGGUCUGUGAUGCCCUUAGAUGUUCUGGGCCGCACGCGCGCUACACUGACGGAGCCAGCGAGUACUUCCUUGUCCGAAAGGUCCGGGUAAUCUUGUUAAACUCCGUCGUGCUGGGGAUAGAGCAUUGCAAU